This is a non-coding RNA of Podarcis muralis (Common wall lizard), 698 nucleotides long. The record is from RefSeq and is a predicted model, not a curated record. NCBI's taxonomy places the organism in Eukaryota, Metazoa, Chordata, Lepidosauria, Squamata, Lacertidae.
ACGGGGUGGGAUGUCUUUACUCUAGGCACAGGUUCACACACCUUGGCUAGAGAUGAAUUAGGAAUGCCUUAAGGACUGAACAAUAGUAUGCUAUAACAAAGUACAGGAUACAUAUGAAUUUUGGAUAACGUUGAGUGAACACGGAUUGAAAAACAGCACUGGAAAUGAGUCAACAGGUUUCCAAUACAUGGCUCUGAAGAUAGACUUGAAAAUGUAUAAGCAAUGCCCUGUGAAAUCUCACACACUGGACUGAAGCCAAGUAACGAUUGUCAAUGGAAGGACACCGAAGGGAGAUAGAGGAGGAGGAAAGCAAGGACAUCUGGAGUGGGAAAGUGUCAAAGGCAACAGCAGCAGAAGGAGUGUGAUGGAGUCAGAAGGAGGUAAAACAGGAGGAGGCAGAUAAGCGACUGAUCUCCGGAUGGGAAGACCUUGGAAAGGGAAGACUAAACAUGAAGGAAGGGCCCAACACUCUGGAGAUGCAGGCAGCUGCUUUGCCACAAAAUAAGGGGCAAAAACCUUCACUGAUUUUGGCACAAAAAAUCCCCAACCAGGUGGCAUGUUUGCUCUUAUUCAAGCUGUUUUAGGAAUAAUGAAUAGGUUUUCAGUUGCAUCAUCAUGUAGAAGUAUGAUAUGCUCUUAAGCAAAUGUAUUUACUCCUAUGUAUUUGAUGAUACAUUAUAAUGCAACUAUAACCAUAA